Molecule: long non-coding RNA, 2028 nt
Filed under: Sarcophilus harrisii (Tasmanian devil)
Lineage: Eukaryota; Metazoa; Chordata; Mammalia; Dasyuromorphia; Dasyuridae
Description: lncRNA (ENSSHAG00000007187.2)
Source: RNAcentral
GUGAGUGCCGCGCGGGGGCGGGCGCGGGGGCGCGGGCGGGGGGCGCGAGCCGGGAGCGCGCCCAGCGCGCCCCUCCCCCUCCCCGCCGCCCCACGCGUGAACUCCGCGGGGCCUUUUGUUCGCGGGCGAAGGCCCUGCCCCGGACCGUUGGGGGGCGGCGGUUAGCGGGGCCGGGCCCAUCGGGCUGGGCCGGGCGAGCCGCCCCGCCCCCCUGCUCUGCCGCGGCGUCCCCUCCCCCACCCGCCGCCCCUUCCCCCGGAUCUCCUUGAGGUUCGUCCUCUCCCCGGGAAAACUGAGGCCUGGGUCGGGGAGGAGCCCUGGCGUCCCGGCGGGCGCUGCGGGGGGCCGGGGGGCCUGGCCAGGACCUGCGAGAUUUAGACAUGGCCAGAGACCCCAAAGGGAGCCGGGCCCGGCCCGGCCAGAAGCGACAGCACAGCGCUACCCUCUACCACAGUAACUGUGACCUGAACUAUGAGCUGUAUCGGGAAGACUUCCCCUACAGGGUGUAUGAAUAUCAGAGGAUCCCCCCACUUAUCAACCGAGCGCCUGUCAAGAGCAGACGGACUCACAUGGGAACAGGGGGCAAGAGUGGCCUCAACCCCCACAUCCCCCCACGAAGCAACAACCCACCCCCUGUCCGGACAAAGUUAAGAGCUGAGGAGCUGCACUCGAUCAAGGGGGAGCUGAGCCAGAUCAAAGCCCAGGUGGACAGUCUGCUCGAGAGUCUGGAGCGCAUGGAUCAGCGGCGAGACCGGCUGGGAGGGCCCCAAGACAGUGAGAAGAAGGUGGCCUCGGCCGGCGGGGAGUCCUCCAGUGCGGCCACGGAGGCCCAGCGGGAGCCCAGGGGCAAAGAGAGCCCGGAGGCCAGAGCUCGCAGCCGCAGGGAGGCCGACAGUGCUGAAGAGAGCACGGACACGGAGGAGGCGAUGAAAAACCACACAUCGGACCCUGACGGGAGCCAGUAGAAGCACUGGGGCCCUUCCUGGGUCGGCCUCCCAGCCGGUGCCACGUGAGACCUGCCCUCCAGCCUCUCCUCCAGAAGCUGGGCACAAGUCCCUGAGGUGCAGGCCUAGAGAAUGGGCCUGGGGAGGCAGGAAAAUCCAGCAGGUCUAGAAUUUCCCUUUGAAAAAACUCCACCCUCCUUUCCUCUGUGCUGUUUCCCCCACCUCAUGAAAAAGGGGUUCCCUUGGUAGUAAGGCUUGGCAGGACGGGCAUUUGGGGGAAGCAUCUGGGCCAACAAUUCCAAGUUCUUCCCAAAUUGCUCAGUGAUGAUUUUCAGUUCCCCGUCCCCACCGGGUACCCACUCAUUUCUUCUUGAAGAAACAUUCCCAGGGGUAGAAACCCCCCCAUCUCUUGGACAGUCAGUCCAUUUACAACAGUAUUGGCUCUCUUCCUGGCUCCAGCAGACACGACCCAGGUUUUGCUCUCAAUAUUAGCCAUUCGACACAGAAACCCCCAGUGUUCCUUAUGGGGCUCCCCCAGCUUUCUUUCUGCCCAGCCAGUGUUGGGGAGACAUUGGCCGCAUACCCCCUCAUCCCCGCGAUGUGAGGUGAGAUCGAUACCAUUCUGUGCUUUCUCUGGUCCCCGAGAACCCCUACCAAGCCAGGCCAAGGGCAGCCGCCUCAGCUCCUGGUGGCUCAUCAAGGUUCCCCCUUUUCCCAGCACCCCGUGGCUUCAAUGUUUUGCACUAUUAGCCUUCAUGUGACCCCUUCUUCUCCCCCGGCCCCUGCAGAAUUCCAUACCCACAGUGGUGCAUGGGAAAUGAGUUCUGUUUCCGACAGGUGCGUUUCUGCUCCGUAGAAGAUAAGUCAGGUCCUUGGUCGAUGUUGCCCCGGUUAGCCCCGUUACUUCCUUGUCCCCCCUUCCCCCAUGCUGUCCUUUCAGAACAGGUGUAGUUCAUUCUUAUGUCCAGUUUCUAGCUUGUCUUCUUGCUGGUAUGAUACUGUGUAUUUCAAAUCUGCUCUGGAAAAGUGUAUUGUGUUGAAAGGAAAAAAAAUUAAAAGUUUGUAUUUCUUUUCUCUGGUUAAA